GAAAGACGUCUGUCUGCUGGGGUGUCAGGGAUCGCCGUCCAAGAGGCACACACUCGGAAGCAUGCUCUGGAGAGACAAAGGAGGUUGGAGUUUCUCGAGAGGAAAGAGGGAAUUUACGAAGAUGUGCUUCAGCCAAAGAAGGAAAUUAAUCGAGAAGGAGGAAGAUGGCACCUAGAUAACAGAUGAUUCAACAAAGGGAAUGGCCAAGGGACAUCUCAGGGUAAUAUUCAGCUUCCAGACUGUCACGGGGGUUUGGAGUUCUCUGGGAGGAAUUCUCCAGCAGGAGCCCAAAAUGGAAUCUCUGUAUUUGAGUACACAUAAGUAAUGUUAUUGAUUUUGAAUUCUUUUGGGGUAAAGGGAAGUAAUAAUUAAAACACAGAAAAAUGGAAAACCAAACAACAAAGCAAGGAUUAACUCCAGAAAGAAAGAGAGGACGGUAGAAGAAAGGAGGUGGCGUCGCCAUAGACUUUUUGGCUUAAUAAGGCAUCGUAUUCGGAGUCGUAGUAUUGUAAACACCGCUUAUUAACUUAGGAAUUGUGACCCAACUCUUGGGAGAUGUGUCAAGAUUGGGGUGGGAGGUGGAGAAGGAACACUAAAUCCUUCUCUCCCUCAGCAAGAAGUCAGCUGUGUCUAAAUUGGGCGAAUUAGGAUUUAGCACUAUAUGCAUAUUAGAAAUGAAGAGGUUAAAAGCAAGGGGAAAAGCUAGGUGAUUUGAGAGGGCUUGCCUCUGAGGAGGGGCCGGGGAGAUGAUGAAGGGCAGGGCACUGACACUUUGUGUAGUGUUGGUACCAUUUGACUUUGAAAACUACGCACAUGUGUUUACACAGAGAGAGACAGAGGGGGUGGGGUAAACUUUGGGUCCAUGUCUUUCCACCGUAUCACAAGACUGAACCAGUUCCCUUUUCGAUGUGCAACUUUCUAAGUUUCCUCUCCCAGUGUUUCUAGAGAACGGGGUGCUCUCCUCCGUCUGCCACCCGUGCAGCAGGCCGCAUAGGACCCUUGAAACCUCUACUUCCUUCCCUCGGAUCCUCGCAGGGGGCCCGGUUCCGGGUCUCAUGGGGGGCCCAGUUCUGGGGGUCAUGGUUCCUGGGGGCAGACUCCGUUAGAGCAUGAAGGCUGAUCUGGCUUCCUGCUUUCCCUAGAAGGCAUCUGGUUUCCUGGUAGCUGUGGAGAGACCCACUGUGGGAAGCUGCUGGAAGCCCAGGACUCAGGACCCCUGUGCACAUGAGCUGGCCUCACCCUGGUGGGCGCUUGGACUGCCAACGAGGGACACAGGCUGGUGGAGGGACUAGAGGAGGUCUUAGCGGCCAAUGACAUGCCUGGUUUGUUGGGUUUUGGGAAAGCCAGCUGGGCUCAGAAUCAGCCUGGUGGGUUUGUCUGGAUUGUCCCCAGGGCAAGAGGACUGAGCCGACCCUCAGUGGUCACAGAGCAAAGCUGACCUGUAUCAGGCAAACCAAUCUGUCCCCCUCACCGCCUACCGGCCCAGCCACCCUGUUGGUGCUCACAUUUGAGGACUGACAUCUGGGCACAGCCAGAGUUGUUUUACUUCCUGUCUUACAGGUGGCUUCCUUGACACGGAUGGACCUCUUAAAUGGUCACCCAUGCUGUCUGGGCUUCUCUCAAUUGAAUGGGACUAAUUCAGCUCCUACAUCUUAGAGAUUCCGGAUAAAGCCUCCACUGCUCC
Long non-coding RNA from Enhydra lutris kenyoni (northern sea otter), 1684 nucleotides. RefSeq lists it as uncharacterized. Lineage: Eukaryota; Metazoa; Chordata; Mammalia; Carnivora; Mustelidae. The transcript has 3 exons. The record is from RefSeq and is a predicted model, not a curated record.